Molecule: long non-coding RNA, 489 nt
Filed under: Oryza brachyantha (malo sina)
Lineage: Eukaryota; Viridiplantae; Streptophyta; Magnoliopsida; Poales; Poaceae
Description: long non-coding RNA (OBRA_LNC002493)
Source: RNAcentral
UCUCCAGCAGCGACUUCAUUAAAAUUCAUCAACCAGGGAUAAUUAACAGGUGAUAAACUAUAAAUGCACCUCAGAAGGACCAGCUUCGAUAGUCUAAACAUCCCGACCUCCUUCCGAACAUAUACAUAGAUUUUCACUAAAAAGUUUAAUCCCUCUAAAAUUCACAUGAAUUUUCUCUAAACCGAAUAAGCCCUCGGGAACAGAAGAGAAUACCAUCAUAAUUCAGAAAUGAAACAGUGGAAUUGGAAUUCAGAAGCAAGGAUACCAAUGGCAUUUGCCAAAUUCCAUUUAUGUCCUCACAUGAGGGCCAUUACACCUCAGCCACACUGCUUUAGUGGCCCAGGGGCAAAAUCGUCAUGUGCACUAGCAACAAUCCAAUAAUCCUACACCAGAAUAUACACGGGGGGAGGGGAGGAUGCCAUGUCUCGCUCUACGAGGAGAGGUGCAAUUCCGAGAAUGCCCCCCGGCUCCGGCGCCCCCACGGCGACG